This 1612-nucleotide long non-coding RNA is filed under the name Triticum aestivum (bread wheat). Its description in RNAcentral is "long non-coding RNA (TAES_LNC024219)". The record is from RNAcentral. Lineage: Eukaryota; Viridiplantae; Streptophyta; Magnoliopsida; Poales; Poaceae.
UUGGCAAUAAGCCAUGUGUGUGUGCAUGGCGCGUAGGUGCGCGUGUGUGCGUCGCGUGUGUUUGUGCACGAACGCUGCAGAUUAGCUGCAUGCAUGGGCGUGUGCUGUUAGUCUGUUAGUACGUGCAGGCUAAUUGCAUGGAUGUUUGGCCGGGUCUCACGGAGGAGGGAGUGGCUCACGACGAGAAGAGGCUGAUUCCGGAGGGAGUGUGUGCGUGGGUUAUGCAUGCGUGGGCGCUGCGUCAUCCGGUGUAUAAAGUCUAGACGAUGUAGUCCUCGAGUGGUGCCAAUCCCAGUGAAUAAAGGUUGCCAAGAUACAGGCCGGUACGCGGCCGCGGCGUUCGUCGCCAUUGCUCUGAGUUCGUGCUCGAGUUGGGUUAUCUUGUGCGUAUUGUUUCCGGGUUUGCGCCAACAAUUGGUAUUCAGAGCCACAAGGUUCGAGGGGCUGCCGUGGCGUGCGGCGGCGUCCGCGGCGCGCGCGGCGAGUCCACGGCAGUUCAUUGUGAUGUCGUGCGCGCGGCGAGCAUGCUGGUCGUGGAGGCGAGGAGGUCGCGGAGGACCUGCGUGGUGGCGCAGAGGCCGCGGUGGCUCGGCACGACGACCAUGGAGGCGCAGUGGCGCAAGGCACGGAGACGCGGCACGGCGGCGCACGGAGCUGCGGGUUUCGGCAGCGGCAAUGAGUGGCGCACGACUGGGCGCAGCGCGGCAGUAGCUGCAUCGGCGGCGGUGCGCGACAGCGGCCGGCGAGGUGGCCGCGUUGCACGGCAUCUGCGACGGCUCGUGCUGGAAGGACACGGUGGCGUCGGGCGGCAGCAACCAUGGCGACGAGCCUGUCGUGUCGGGCGCGUGUAUGGGUGCGCGCCGGGCGCGUAGGGCUCGUCGGGUCCACGACGUCUGGUGCAGUCGAGCUCGUCGGGCGCGUUCGGUGCGCAUGGCACGUGCGGGACGCACCAGUGCGGUUGGGCUCAUCGGGCGCGCCGGAUGCGCGCGGGACGUGCGGGGCACCGAGGGACGUUGGGCGUGUGUCGCCGGCGGAGAAGGAGCUCGGCGUGUGUCGCCGGAGUUGUGAUGCAGCACGGUGAGACCGACAUCGAUGCGCCAGGUCGGGUCCGUGGCGGUGUGACCGUCGUCGUUGCGUCAGGUCGAGUCCGCAGGCUGGGUGACGAUCGUGGCGACGACUUCGACAUGAGCUACUCCGGCGACGGCGAGGUCAUGGCUUAGGAGGAGAGUGUUGGCAAUAAGCCAUGUGUGUGUGCAUGGCGCGUAGGUGCGCGUGUGUGCGUCGCGUGUGUUUGUGCAGGAACGCUGCAGAUUAGCUGCAUGCAUGGGCGUGUGCUGUUAGUCUGUUAGUACGUGCAGGCUAAUUGCAUGGAUGUUUGGCCGGGUCUCACGGAGGAGCGAGUGGCUCACGACGAGAAGAGGCUGAUUCCGAAGGUAGUGUGUGCGUGGGUUAUGCAUGGGUGGGCGCUGCGUCAUCCGGUGUAUAAAGUCUAGACGAUGUAGUCCUCGAGUGGUGCCAAUCCCAGUGAAUAAAGGUUGCCAAGAUACAGGCCGGUUCGCGGGCGCGGCAUUCGUCAUCAUUGCUCUGAGUUCGUGCCCGAGUUGGGUUAUCU